GACGAACGCUGGCGGCGUGCUUAACACAUGCAAGUCGAACGGAAAGGCCCUGCUUUUGUGGGGUGCUCGAUUGGCGAACGGGUGAGUAACACGUGAGUAACCUGCCCCUGACUUUGUGAUAACUUCAGGAAACUGGGGCUAAUACCGGAUAGGAUCUCCUGCUGCAUAGUGGGGGUUGGAAAGUUUCGGCGGUUGGGGAUGGACUCGCGGCUUAUCAGCUUGUUGGUGGGGUAGUGGCUUACCAAGGCUUUGACGGGUAGCCGGCCUGAGAGGGUGACCGGCCACAUUGGGACUGAGAUACGGCCCAGACUCCUACGGGAGGCAGCAGUGGGGAAUAUGGCACAAUGGGGGGAAGCCUGAUGCAGCAACGCCGCGUGCGGGAUGACGGCCUUCGGGUUGUAAACAGAUUUCGACUGUGACGAAGAGUGAGUGACGGUAAUGGGUAAAGAAGCACCGGCUAACUACGUG
Molecule: ribosomal RNA, 468 nt
Filed under: uncultured bacterium
Lineage: Bacteria
Description: partial 16S ribosomal RNA
Rfam family: Bacterial small subunit ribosomal RNA
Source: RNAcentral